ACUUGCAAUCCAGUUAUAUAUUAUUCUCGAAUUCGUAUUAGGUGGUCUUUCAUUUUAAAAAUGAUAGAGGAGAUCUCCGAGGCAUCUGAAGGCUGCAAUGAGGAGAAGGAUGUUAGUUUUGUAAAGCUAAACAUGUUCAGCAUAAAACAUCGAAUCAAUGAUUUACCAGAGUCAAAAUAUAGGGACGUUCUGUCAAACCACGCAACUAAUAUGUUGGUGCAUUCGGCGCCGUUGGAUGGAUUAGAUGGACGGAGGAGGAUGCACUUGCCAGAUAUGGAAUCCAACGUUACGAGCUAAAGUGGAAGGUUGACUGCUAAAAUGGCACUUCCACGUGAAUAUGGAAACGUAUUUAAAGAAAAUCGGGCAUUUUGUUGGAAGGCGUUAUUGCCUUCUUGUCAACUCCGUUACUUUCUAUGUUUGAUAUUUUUCCCUCCAAUUUCUCAACCUCUUUAUCUGGACUCUUUUACCAUUGUACCCCUUAUGUUUUAUCACACUCUUACCUUGUAUUUUGUAUUAGUAUCACUUAUCAUUUUGUACAUUAUUUACCAUUUUUAGUACGAUUUUAUGAUUUUCAAUUA
Long non-coding RNA from Pyrus x bretschneideri (Chinese white pear), 578 nucleotides. RefSeq lists it as uncharacterized. The record is from RefSeq and is a predicted model, not a curated record. The transcript has 2 exons. Lineage: Eukaryota; Viridiplantae; Streptophyta; Magnoliopsida; Rosales; Rosaceae.